GAUGAAGAACGCAGUGAAAUGCGAUAAGUAGUGUGAAUUGCAGAAUUCAGUGAAUCAUCGAAUCUUUGAACGCACAUUGCGCCCCUUGGUAUUCCGAGGGGCAUGCCUGUUCGAGCGUCAUUAUAACCCCUCAAGCUCAGCUUGGUGUUGGGGCCUGCUGCACUGGCAGCCCUUAAAAUCAGUGGCGGCGCCAUCUGGCUCUAAGCGUAGUAAUUCUUCUCGCUAUGGAGUCCUGGUGGAUGCUUGCCAUCAACCCCCAAUUUUUCUAUGGUUGACCUCGGAUCAGGUAGGGAUACCCGCUGAACUUAAGCAUAUCAAUAAGCGGAGGA
Molecule: unclassified non-coding RNA, 329 nt
Filed under: soil metagenome
Description: partial contains 5.8S ribosomal RNA, internal transcribed spacer 2, and large subunit ribosomal RNA
Rfam family: 5.8S ribosomal RNA (bases 1-120)
Source: RNAcentral